This 152-nucleotide small nuclear RNA is filed under the name uncultured eukaryote. RNAcentral's name for it is "partial Dictyostelium signal recognition particle". The record is from RNAcentral.
GGUAGCGAUCGAUGCUGACGGGAAGCCCGUGCCUUUCAAAGGCUCCAAGCCGAACAUCCUCGCCUACCGUUUGGCACGCAUCGCACGCGAACUCGCGCUCGCUGUGCUCUUCACGAACAUCUUCCCGCACCUCCCGCCAGGCUCUGCAAUCG